UCGCUCCUACCGAUUGAGUGAUCCGGUGAAUAACUCGGACUGAUGCUUUUUCCAGCUUCUGGAAUUUGCUUCGGAAAGUUUAGUGAACCUUAUCACUUAGAGGAAGGAG
Molecule: ribosomal RNA, 109 nt
Filed under: uncultured eukaryote
Lineage: Eukaryota
Description: partial small subunit ribosomal RNA
Rfam family: Eukaryotic small subunit ribosomal RNA
Source: RNAcentral